CGAUGCAUUGAGCUAACCCGUACUAAUUACCCGUGAGGCUUAACCAUACAACACCCAAGAAGUGUUCU
This 68-nucleotide ribosomal RNA is filed under the name Aeromonas veronii. RNAcentral describes it as "partial 23S ribosomal RNA". Lineage: Bacteria; Pseudomonadati; Pseudomonadota; Gammaproteobacteria; Aeromonadales; Aeromonadaceae. The record is from RNAcentral.